RNAcentral lists this ribosomal RNA (292 nucleotides) under Chaetoceros curvisetus. RNAcentral's name for it is "partial Bacterial large subunit ribosomal RNA". It matches the Rfam family "Bacterial large subunit ribosomal RNA", at positions 1227 to 1518 of the family's 2925-position model. The record is from RNAcentral. Lineage: Eukaryota; Bacillariophyta; Thalassiosirophyceae; Chaetocerotales; Chaetocerotaceae.
GGUAGGGGAGCGUCGUGCAUGAGGUGAAGCAUGAGUGUGAACACGUGUGGAUUGUGUGCGAGUGAGAAUGCAGGCAUGAGUAACGAAUUGAUAGGUGAGAAUCCUAUCCGCCGGAUGACUAAGGGUUCCUGGGUCAAGUUCGUCUUCCCAGGGUGAGUCGGGACCUAAGGCGAGGCCGACAGGCGUAGUCGAUGGAUAACCAGUUGAUAUUCUGGUACCCGAGUGUGUGCGUCAAUGGUAAAGCAGUGAUACUAACCAUGUUCGAGACUUAUUGAUUAUGCCCUUUUUGGGU